CAGGAGGCGCUGCCGCAAGACCGGGCUGUGCGAAAACGCGUUUAAACUUGGCCGCCGCCGCGGCCUGUAGUCGGCGUCUCCAACAUGGCGGCUGCCCAAGAUGUCCACGUCCGGAUCUGUAACCAAGAGAUUGUCAAAUUCGACUUGGAGGUGAAGGCGCUUAUCCAGGAUAUUCGAGAUUGUUCAGGACCAUUAAGUGCACUUACUGAAUUGAAUACUAAAGUGAAAGAGAAGUUUCAACAGUUACGGCACAGAAUCCAGGAGCUUGAGCAGUUGGCUAAAGAGCAAGACAGAGAGUCGGAGAAGCAGGCUCUGCUCCAGGAAGUGGAGAGUCACAAAAAGCAGAUGCUCAGCAAUCAGACCUCAUGGAGGAAAGCAAACCUCACUUGCAAGAUGGCUAUCGACAAUGUAGAGAAAGCAGAACUUCUCCAGGGAGGAGACCGCUUACGGCAAAGGAAAACCGCCAAAGAGAGCCUGGCCCAGACAUCCAGCACCAUCACAGAGAGCCUCAUGGGGAUUAGCAGGAUGAUGUCCCAGCAGGUCCAGCAGAGCGAGGAAGCCGUGCAGUCACUAGGCAGGGGCAUCCGUGACCAUCAGCGGUGGUGCCACAGCUCCGUCUCCACUGCAGACGCCGCAGGUGAGCUCAGGACCCCUCCCUCAUCUCCAUCCAGACAUCGGUGCUCAUCCACCUCUGCCUGUCCCCGACCUCCCUCUCCGUGCUCUGCGUACCGCCUGGCCCUUUUCCAGGCUUCCGCCUCUUCCCUGACACGCCUCCCGCUGCCCCUUCUGGGUCCCCUUUCCCUUCACCAAGCCUGUCUCCCUGAAGCCUCUUCUCACCAUCCCAGGAGGUGAGACUUCAUUCAACAGAUACAGGUCAACGUUGUGCUGGAAAGAAGGCACCCAUACAAGGUGUUGGUGAAUUGAGGGACCCGAAAAGGCCCUGCUGGAGGCAGUUCGACAGAGUGGCUCAAUUCGGAGAUGCUUCUAAGGAAAAAAAAAGACAGUCAAGUGUAAACGAAGCUAUGUUUUCUUCCGUAGCUAAUGAUGGCCUCCCCUGAGGCCCUGCCUGAGGGUUUGCCCAAGCUGUGUUUCUUCCCUAAGCAAGGACAGAAUAAAAAUAGCCGGGGGCUAAUCUAAGAGAUAACAGAUAGGAGCCUCAGCCACAUUGUCGGGAAUGAAGGGCUGCAGGCUGGGGUGAGGGGGGGGGGUGUUAUCAGCACCCCUCCCUCAGCCCCCAGCAGCAAGGCCCAGGGCCCAAGGUAUUGGUCAGCUUUCAUCACAGUGGUCAAAGUGUGGCCUUUGGUGGCAGAGAGGCCUGGGCUCUAAUUGUACUCUUCCCGGGCGUGUGGCCUCAGCAGGGAUGGCCCCUGUUGCUUUCUCAUCAGGACGCAGGGACAGCCGAUGACGUUGACCUCUCAGGGGUGCUAGGAGGAUUAAAGGACAAAACUCGAACACCUCUCCCACCAUAACCCCUAUGACCACUGCAUUCAUUCCAAACCAAAGCACAGUGGUGCCUCAUGACCCUUUCUCUGUGGGGCUUUACUUGGAAAUGGAGCUUAGGCCAAGAGGAAGAUGCCUGGGUUGGGAAGGUAGCAGGACCCGAGGCCAGCGUAGUGUUUCUCAGGUGGCAAAGGGCUGCGAGCAGAGCAGCAGGCCGGGCGAGUUGGCCGACGUUCCUAAUCCAUUAGAAACCGCCCACGAAGAAGCUCAGUGGAAAAUGUCCUCUUUUUAUUAUUCUGAAACCGUCACUCCUCCUCCCCCUGCAAUCUUGUUUGCUGGCAAAGCGUGCUCCCGGAUAACAUGAAUCCAUAAAGUAGCAAAUGAAUAUGGACUGAAACAUGAGGAAACAGCCAAUCCAUUUUAAUCUGACAGUUUGACAAGUAUGAAAACCAAGAGUGUCCCUGACAGAAACAUCACAGUUUCUAAGAAAGGAGUUCAUAGUUUGCGGGAGCUGGCCCUUCCGUGGUGUUCUCUGCUGCCACCUGAACAGGCCGAGGACCAGUGGAUUAGAGGACCAAGGGCUGUGCGUUGUUAGACUGCAGGCUCCUGGCUGCGUUCCUGAAAGACCUCAACCCCGCCGCCGCCACCACCCAAUCCCUUCCAGAAUCUUAUCGCGCGUGUGCUCUGGCUACAGUCUGUGCUGGGCGCUGGACAGAAGAGGAAGUCCACCUGCCUUGGGGAGCCCACUGCCUGUCAGGGACAGACCUGGAGCCAAACAGGUGUCCAUUACGGGUCACACUGGGGAGCCCUUUAAUACCUUCGGAGACGUCCACACCAUGGGGUACGAGGCAGAGUGAGAAGCCAUGAGGGGACAUAUGGAGUGGUGGAGAGCCCUCCAGGACACGCUGCUAAGUGAACAAAGGACACUGCAGAACCAAACUUAGAUGGCAUUUCUGUAAAAUCGUCCACAUUUAAAACAAAGCUACAUGCUUUUAUCUGGAUAUGUGUGUGCGCGCAUGUGUGUGCAUGUGUGGGAACGGACUGGAAGGGCGGGAUUGGUGGAGCUAUUUCUAAGGAGGCAGCUGAAAGGUGGGACAAGGGGACUUUCUUUAUGACUCUAUAUGCCCUUGUGUUAUUCAACAGUUUACAAUGGUAACAUGUUCAUGUGCUAUUAGAUUAAAUGAACUAAUUAAUAAGUAAAAAAUGUAAAACAAACCAAACCGGACAGGUGGAAAGUACCUACCUUGCAGGCUGUUGGGCGGGUUGAGAGGCUGUGUCAUGCUCCCCGCACCUUUUCCAGCAGCAGGAGGCCCUCAGCCAGCGCUGGUCACUUCCACCAAGUCCACGUGGGCAGGCCACGGUGCUUGGGGAGUGCAGAGCUGAGAAUGAGGCAGUGAGCGGUCAGGGAGGCCGGAAAGGACAGACCCAGGACGUAGUCACAUAUAUGGGACCCAUCAAUGCCACCUGGGUAGAUGAGGUCUCUUUCAGAGAGUGUGGGGAGGGGAACGGGCUCUGUGUUUGGCUCCGGGCCGCUGUGAUGCUUGGGGCAGUGGGGGAAAAGGAACCAUGGGAAAGAGCCACGGAGAGAAACGCUGGAGAGGAAGCUGGGAGGGGGGCGGCCCAGGAGGCAGGUGCAGAGAAGGAAGGAGGCGCCCACGGUGUCAGGGGCCAGGCAGGCCCCGGGGGCGAGGCCUGAGGAGAGAGCUGGGCCCUGCUCCCCCGCCCAGCGUGGUUUCAGUGGGAGGGAGGGCAGAAGGCAGCUGGCAGAGGCAGGCAGUGAAUGUGGACCAUUCCGUCAAGAAGUGCGGACGAGAUAGGCAAGAGAGAGGCUGCUGAGGAAGGAGACUUACAUCUUGCAGAGCAAUACAAGGGGAUUUACUGGGGAAGGCAGCACGGCGCUUCCUCAGAAAAUUAAACAGAAUUGCAUACGAUCCAGCAGCCCCACUUCCGGACAUUUCCCCAAAGGAACUGAAAGCAGGGGCUCGAACAGAAAUUUGUACUCGCGUGUUCACAGCACUGACUCAGCCCAGGUCAGAAAACAGAUCACAAGCAUCUUCCUUCUGGAAAAUGGAUUUACAUCGGAAGGUGAGCCUUCAGGGUAAUGUUUACAUCCAUCUUUCAGCCACGCUGCUCAUGUUACUUCGCGUCACCUUGACUUCAAACACUUGUACCCAGCGAGCAGAGGCGUUGGCAUCAGCCACUGUCAGGAACAAAUGUGGUCGCGUAAUCCCAGGGCCUGCGAGGAAUGCGGCAGCAACAGACCAAGUUAUUAACCAUUUUCUAAACCUGAAACCUGGAAAGCAAAUAGCAGAGGGACCCCUGAGCAGAUAGCAUUAGCGAUCCAGGAUUUUAUAAUAUCAAACCUCCAACCAAAAUACAUCCAGUUCCUUCUGACUUGAAAGACCCCCACUCAAGAGGUUAAUGUGUUACCUUAUGCAUUUUCACACACUCAAAAGUGCUUUCUUUCUCUUGUUUUUUAGCAGUGAUGUAACUGGUAGAAACAGGUGGGCAGAGUUCAAGGGGCCUCCAUUCUGUAGGCGUAGGGCAGUGGGCCUAGCUAAGCACAGAUGAGCUUAUUUGCUUGUGUUAGGGACAGUGUGGGAGAAGGACCCUGCUCCUGUCCCUUGAGCAGGGCAGCAGUGUCCCUCUUCCCUUGGCCUCAGGGGUGAGGGGCAAAUGUCCUGUGAUGGGCAUCUGCUCUGUCUGCACAUCCAUUCUCCAUCUAGGAAUAGCCCCCCAGUUUUCCUUUGUGAAACCACCCUUCCCCACUCUCAGUCCCAUGGUUAAGGCGGAGAUGAACCAACCCCCGAUGAGAGAGAGGGUUGGAGAUGUGACCUGGACAGUCAGGGUCAGCGUGAUUAGCUCAUUGAUUUGUUCACAUGACCGAGGCCAGGCCACUGAGCAUUCGCCCUGGAAGGUUUGCUGGAAUUCUCUUUGUCUGGGGUCAAUAAGCUCAUAGGAAGGGAUCCUGGAGCUGCUGGGGGGCCUGGCCAAGCGGAGAGCUGAGAGACAGAGGAGCAAGGACACAGCAUCCUUUUGACAUAAUUUGAGCCCCUGGAUCCAGCCAUUCCUGAAGCUAGACUCUCUCUGGUUUUCCUACUUAGGUCAGCCAAAAAUGACCUUCUUUUACUUUGGGUUUCCAUCACGUGCAACCUUAUACAGGGCUUCAGUGAGAUUGACAAAAUUUGCUUCCUUGGAGGUGCCCUGCACUGCCCUCUACGCCAGCAUACAUGAGCUGUCCCCGCCAACCAGGUGUGCCUGAGACACUGACACACCCCCAUCCUUGGGGCAGCCUGGCAGAGCCUGGGCAACUGGAGCCCCUGGGCUGUGCGCCGAACUUUAGGGAGGCCCAGGUGAGCAGGUGGGGCUGAUAGUGGCCCUGUGGUGUCCCAAAGGCCUCAGGAGCACUGUCAGCCUCAGUGGCAUGUCUUGGCCUGGGCAGGGUGCGGGGUGCAGCCAAGGAGACGCUGCCGCCUGGACGUCGAUGAUGGUAGCCAGCCACAGGGUGCCCUGAUGCCUGAGUUGACAAGGGCCAUGGGACUGGUGGGACUUGAGUUCCACGUGCUCAGAAGCAGUAGGUGCAGACGCAGGAAGAGGGGCGGAUGGGGGUGGGUACCGGGUCAGGCCCUGCUCCAGGCAGCUUGUUUGAGUCUCAGCUUCACACAGACACUUCUGCCGGUGUGGCUGAUGGGUCCCUUUAGGGGCAACCGUGCCACCUGCAGGCAACCGUCCUCACCAUGCAUGAGUAUGCUACAAUUUAGUGCUUUGUCAUUAUUUUGACAUUCUCUAUAUAAAGAAAUGAGACUGGAUUCAAAAUCCCAAGAAGUUCCUGCAUUAUAAUUGCC
Molecule: RNA transcript, 5285 nt
Organism: Hipposideros armiger (great roundleaf bat)
Lineage: Eukaryota; Metazoa; Chordata; Mammalia; Chiroptera; Hipposideridae
Gene: BNIP1
Gene name: BCL2 interacting protein 1
Exons: 7
Source: RefSeq, a predicted model, not a curated record